UCCCUGGUGGCUCAGACGGUAAAGCAUCUGUCUACAAUGCAGGAGACCCGGGCUCGAGCCCUGGGUUGGGAA
Molecule: transfer RNA, 72 nt
Filed under: Ovis aries (sheep)
Lineage: Eukaryota; Metazoa; Chordata; Mammalia; Artiodactyla; Bovidae
Rfam family: tRNA
About the family: Transfer RNA (tRNA) molecules are approximately 80 nucleotides in length. Their secondary structure includes four short double-helical elements and three loops (D, anti-codon, and T loops).
Source: Rfam by way of RNAcentral